RNAcentral lists this ribosomal RNA (482 nucleotides) under uncultured bacterium. RNAcentral's name for it is "bacterial SSU rRNA". It matches the Rfam family "Bacterial small subunit ribosomal RNA", at positions 29 to 507 of the family's 1533-position model. The record is from RNAcentral.
AUGAACGCUAGCGGGAGCUUAAACAUGCAAGUCGAGGGGUAAAUGGUAGCAAUACUAAUGAGACCGGCGGACGGGUGCGUAAACGCGUAUGCCAACAUACCUUGUGCGAGGGGGAUAGCCCGUGGAAACGCGGAUUAAUAUUCCAUAGUCCAGCUAUAUCGCAUGGGUAUAGUUGGUAAAGAUUUAUCGGCACAAGUUUGGCAUGCGUCUGAUUAGCUUGUUGGUAGGGUAACGGCCUACCAAGGCUACGAUCAGUAGGGGUUCUGAGAGGAUUAACCCCCCACACUGGUACUGAGACACGGACCAGACUCCUACGGGAGGCAGCAGUGAGGAAUAUUGGACAAUGGAUGGAAAUCUGAUCCAGCCAUGCCGCGUGCAGGAAGACAGCCCUAUGGGUUGUAAACUGCUUUUAUAUGGGAGCAAUAAGGUCUACGUGUAGACUGAUGAGAGUACCAUAUGAAUAAGCAUCGGCUAACUCCGUG